GAGUUUGAUCUUGGCUCAGGACGAACGCUGGCGGCGCGCCUAACACAUGCAAGUCGAACGGAGUUUGUUGGAUCGAUCCUUCGGGUGAUUGAAAAUAAACUGAGUGGCGGACGGGUGAGUAACACGUGAGCAACCUGCCUUUCAGAGGGGGAUAACGUCUGGAAACGGACGCUAAUACCGCAUAACGUACCGAGUGGGCAUCCACUUGAUACCAAAGGAGCAAUCCGCUGAAAGAUGGGCUCGCGUCCGAUUAGGCAGUUGGCGGGUAACGGCCC
RNAcentral lists this ribosomal RNA (275 nucleotides) under uncultured bacterium. Its description in RNAcentral is "partial 16S ribosomal RNA". It matches the Rfam family "Bacterial small subunit ribosomal RNA", at positions 9 to 266 of the family's 1533-position model. The record is from RNAcentral.